GAUGAACGCUGGCGGCGUGCUUAACACAUGCAAGUCGAACGAAGCACCUUGGAACGCGUCUUCGGACAAGUGAAUUGGUGACUUAGUGGCGGACGGGUGAGUAACGCGUGGGUAACCUGCCUCACACAGGGGGAUAACAGUUAGAAAUGACUGCUAAAACCGCAUAACAUGGCGAGACCGCAUGACCUUGCCAUCAAAUAUUUAUAGGUGUGAGAUGGGCCCGCGUCUGAUUAGCUAGUUGGUAGGGUAAUGGCCUACCAAGGCGACGAUCAGUAGCCGGCUUGAGAGAGUGAACGGCCACAUUGGGACUGAGACACGGCCCAA
Molecule: ribosomal RNA, 324 nt
Filed under: uncultured bacterium
Lineage: Bacteria
Description: bacterial SSU rRNA
Rfam family: Bacterial small subunit ribosomal RNA
Source: RNAcentral